This 347-nucleotide transfer-messenger RNA is filed under the name bacterium. It matches the Rfam family "transfer-messenger RNA". From Rfam's summary of the family: Bacterial tmRNA, also known as 10Sa RNA or SsrA, is named for its dual tRNA and mRNA-like properties. Its role is to liberate the mRNA from a stalled ribosome. The record is from RNAcentral.
GGGGGCGAUUUGGUUUCGACGUAAAUUUGGCAUUUAGAUGCUGCAUGCCGAGAGCUAACUCGUUAAACUGGCACUCGCACAAUAAGUGCAGAACCAAUCAAUCAACUUGCUGCCUAGUAAAUAGAGUAGCAACAUUGAGAUUAACUUUGCUCAUAGGGUUUUUUUCGAUGUCAUUAAUAUGAGCCUAACAGAAGUUUCUUCUCUGCUCUUUUGUUAGUAUUUUAGAGAAUCGAAGUAUUUUUUGUUUUUUAGCCCAAAAAGUACUUUUAAAUUUAAAGCUAAAAUAAGCACGUAGAGGCUCUAUUUAGCUGAUUUCCGGACCUGGGUUCGAUUCCCAGCGCCUCCAA